GGGGAUGUAAUGGUCUCGACGGGGAUAGAUGGAUUAUGAAUAGCGAGCCGGGGGGUCAUCAACCCGUUAGUAAGGUGAAACUUUUAUUAAAUAUAAAAGCAAACGAAGAAUACGCUUUGGCCGCUUAAGGCCAACCUCUGUUCGUCCUUUUCCCGCGUGGAUGGAUAAGAGGACAAGAGCGGGAUACCUGAACGCCAAUUCUCGGAGGCUGAAAGGGAAUUUCAUCGAGAUCGGGAACCUUGAGCCUGUUUGUGGGCGCAUGGCUUCUUAAAGAAAAACACAGACUGCGCUCGGAGAGUUUUGUAAGACAAUAUUUUCGGACAGGAGUUCGAUUCUCCUCAUCUCCACCA
This 350-nucleotide transfer-messenger RNA is filed under the name bovine gut metagenome. It matches the Rfam family "transfer-messenger RNA". From Rfam's summary of the family: Bacterial tmRNA, also known as 10Sa RNA or SsrA, is named for its dual tRNA and mRNA-like properties. The record is from RNAcentral.